RNAcentral lists this ribosomal RNA (774 nucleotides) under Dothideomycetes sp. TRN 153. RNAcentral describes it as "SSU rRNA". It matches the Rfam family "Bacterial small subunit ribosomal RNA", at positions 378 to 1193 of the family's 1533-position model. The record is from RNAcentral. Lineage: Eukaryota; Fungi; Ascomycota; Dothideomycetes.
AACGGCCGAACCAGCCAUUUGGGAGAACGGAAUCAUUUUUAAUGUGCAUAUGAAUAGUUAUAUCAUAUGUAUCGACAAAGAAUAAAGUUCUGAAUAGAUAAUUGAUAAUGACAAAUUUCUAUUCAUCAGUCUUGACUAAUUCUUGUGCCAGCAGUCGCGGUAACACAAGUAAGACAAGUGUUAUUCAUCAUUAUUAGGUUUAAAGCGUACCUAGACGGCAUUUUACACCGAUGAAAAGGUUAAUUUUUUGCUAGAGUUUUAUACGGGAGGUAAAUAUUAGGACUAUUGGUGUAGAGAUGAAAUUCUUUGAUACUAAUAGAAUGUGUAACGACGAAGGUAACCCUCUAUAUACAAACUGACGUUGAGGAACGAAGGCUUGGGGAGCAAAUAGGAUUAGAUACCCUAGUAGUCCAGGCAGAAAAUUAUGAAUGUUAUAUGCUACAAAGGGAGUGUAUAAAUGAAAGUGUAAGCAUUCCACCUCAUGAGUAAAGGGGCAACCCCGGAAUUGAAAUCAUUAGACCGUUUCUGAAACCAGUAGUGAAGUAUGUUAUUUAAUUCGAUGAUCCUCGAAAAAUCUUACCACAAUUUGAAUAGUAUUUAUUGAGAUAUUACAGGCGUUGCACGGCUGUCUAAAGCUAAUGUCGUGAGAUUGUGGUUAGAUUCAUAAAAUUAGCGUAAUCCCUCGCUUUAUUUAAUAAUAAUAUUAAAAAACUAAAUAAUAUUGUGAUUUACCCUUACAAUAAGGGUAAAGUAAUGGGGAAGAAGACAAGUCAU